Molecule: ribosomal RNA, 341 nt
Filed under: uncultured Pseudomonadota bacterium
Lineage: Bacteria; Pseudomonadati; Pseudomonadota
Description: bacterial SSU rRNA
Rfam family: Bacterial small subunit ribosomal RNA
Source: RNAcentral
AGCGAACGUUAGCGGCGGGCUUAACACAUGCAAGUCGCACGAGAUAGGGGACUUCGGUCCCUGUGUAAAGUGGCGGACGGGUGCGUAACACGUGGCUAACCUGCCCUCCAGUUGGGGAUAACUGUCCGAAAGGAUAGCUAAUACCGAAUUCGUCGGCUGGGUCUUCGGACCUGGUCGGGAAAGCCGGCCUCUACAUGUAAGCUGGCGCUGGAGGAGGGGGCCGCGGCCCAUCAGCUAGUUGGUGAGGUAACGGCUCACCAAGGCUAAGACGGGUAGCUGGUCUGAGAGGAUGAUCAGCCACACUGGGACUGAGACACGGCCCAGACUCCUACGGGUGGCAG